AGAUCUGCUGCCUUGAGAGGAGCAGUAAUUUUGGUUGGGAAUGCAGCCUUCCAAGGUGACCCUGCAGGGUGGUAAUCAGAGGAAUAAAUAGACAUACCUGAUUAUCUUAAAUCCUUGGUUUUCCUAUUGAUGCUUUCUAUUAACUGGACCCAGUCAGAAACAAAAGACAAGAGAGUCAUUGAUGUGAUCUGCACAGUAGAUUGGCCAAAGGAGAAGAGAAAGGCAACUGAUUGAGAGGACUAAAAAACUUAUGAAGAAGCGGGUAUACUUCAGCCAGCAUGUCAAUUUCAUCCAUUUUUGUUUACGUUUUUAAAGCCAUCACAUACAUUUUGGCAGGCCUGAAUUAAUCAAGUGAACCCUUUAAAAGAAGGUGGUUCAGUUCCAGAGACAUGCUGUGUACUGCUGGCCUCAAGGAAGAGUUAUCUAGUUGCUGAGAGUGGCUUCCAGAAGACAGACAGGUAAUGAAUGGCGAUUUCAAUCCUACAACCAUAACAAACUGGAUUCUGCCAACAACUGGUGAGGUUAGAAGAGAAUUUCCAGCCUCAUUUGAGAUGACAGUAAUAGCCAACUCUGAGUUCACCUUGUGAGACUUGAGCAAAGAACCAUGCUACUCUGUCCCCAGUCUCCUGACAAAAAAAAAAAAAAGGAUUAACUCAUUCAUUUGUAUUAAAUAGGAAUAUGUGCUUGGAUAUUUACAUAUAUUUGUUAAAUCCUCAAAAUAGCUCCGUGGAUUACAGUUUAUAUACACAUUUAACAAAUGGCAUAAAAUUUCAAAAACUUUAGCAAUAUAAUAAAAUUAUACACAAAUAAAAAAUGACAUAGCUAUU
Molecule: long non-coding RNA, 827 nt
Organism: Pan troglodytes (chimpanzee)
Lineage: Eukaryota; Metazoa; Chordata; Mammalia; Primates; Hominidae
Exons: 4
Source: RefSeq, a predicted model, not a curated record